AACGAACGCUGGCGGCAGGCCUAACACAUGCAAGUCGAGCGCGCCUUCGGGUGAGCGGCGGACGGGUUAGUAACGCGUGGGAACGUGCCCUUCUCUACGGAAUAGCCUCUGGAAACGGAGAGUAAUACCGUAUACGCCCUUUGGGGGAAAGAUUUAUCGGAGAAGGAUCGGCCCGCGUUAGAUUAGGUAGUUGGUGGGGUAACGGCCUACCAAGCCUACGAUCUAUAGCUGGUUUUAGAGGAUGAUCAGCAACACUGGGACUGAGACACGGCCCAGACUCCUACGGGAGGCAGCAGUGGGGAAUCUUAGACAAUGGGGGCAACCCUGAUCUAGCCAUGCCGCGUGAGUGAUGAAGGCCUUAGGGUCGUAAAGCUCUUUCGCCUGUGAUGAUAAUGACAGUAGCAGGUAAAGAAACCCCGGCUAACUCCG
RNAcentral lists this ribosomal RNA (429 nucleotides) under uncultured Paracoccaceae bacterium. RNAcentral describes it as "bacterial SSU rRNA". It matches the Rfam family "Bacterial small subunit ribosomal RNA", at positions 29 to 505 of the family's 1533-position model. The record is from RNAcentral. Lineage: Bacteria; Pseudomonadati; Pseudomonadota; Alphaproteobacteria; Rhodobacterales; Paracoccaceae.